Molecule: ribosomal RNA, 594 nt
Filed under: uncultured eukaryote
Lineage: Eukaryota
Description: bacterial SSU rRNA
Rfam family: Bacterial small subunit ribosomal RNA
Source: RNAcentral
GCUAAUACCCCAUAUGCUUUCGAGUGAAAUGGAGAUUUCCGCCUAAAGAGAAGCUUGCGGCUGAUUAGCUUGUUGGUAAGGUAAUGGCUUACCAAGGCGACGAUCAGUAUCUGGUUUGAGAGGAUGAUCAGACACACUGGAACUGAGACACGGUCCAGACUCCUACGGGAGGCAGCAGUGGGGAAUUUUCCGCAAUGGGCGAAAGCCUGACGGAGCAAUCUCGCGUGAGGGAUGACGGCCUAUGGGUUGUAAACCUCUUUUUUCAGGGAGGAACAAAAUGACGUGUACCUGAAGAAUAAGCAUCGGCUAACUCCGUGCCAGCAGCCGCGGUAAGACGGAGGAUGCAAGUGUUAUCCGGAAUCACUGGGCGUAAAGCGUCUGUAGGUGGUUUAAUAAGUCAACUGUUAAAUCUUGAAGCUCAACUUCAAAAUCGCAGUCGAAACUAUUAGACUAGAGUAUAGUAGGGGUAAAGGGAAUUUCCAGUGGAGCGGUGAAAUGCGUAGAGAUUGGAAAGAACACCGAUGGCGAAGGCACUUUACUGGGCUAUUACUGACACUCAGAGACGAAAGCUAGGGUAGCAAAUGGGAUUAGAUA